GGAUGAACGCUGGCGGCGUGUCUAAGGCAUGCAAGUCGAUCGCUGAACUUCGCUUCGGUGGAGCUAGGCGAGGCAAACGGGAGAGUAAUACAUUGGUAAUCUACCCCGAGGACGAGGAUAACCCUGCGAAAGCGGGGAUAAUCCUCGAUAAAAGUGGGGGCCAUAAGGCCAUCCACUUAAAGCUCCGGCGCCUCGGGAGGAGCCUAUGUCCUAUCAGCUAGUUGGUGAGGUUAAGGCUCACCAAGGCAACGACGGGUAGCGGGGGUGAGAGCCCUGUCCGCCUCACUGGGACUGAGACACUGCCCAGACUCCUACGGGAGGCUGCAGUCAAGAAUCUUCCUCAAUGGCCGCAAGGCUGAAGGAGCGACGCCGCGUGCAUGAUGAAGCCCUUCGGGGUGUAAAGUGCUUUUAACCGGGACGAACGAUGACGGUACCGGUUGAAUAAGGGGCUGCCAAUCUCGUGCCAGCAGCAGCGGUAACACGAGAGCCCCAAGCGUUAUCCGGAUUUACUGGGCGUAAAGGGUCCGUAGGCGGUUUGCCACAUCUCUUGAUAAAUCCUUUGGCUCAACCGAAGGACUUCAGGGGAAAUGGGCAAACUAGAGGCCGGAAAAGGCAAGCGGAAUUGCCGGUGUAGGGGUUAAAUCCGUUAAGAUCGGCAAGAACACCGAAUGCGAAGGCAGCUUGCUAGGACGGUCCUGACGCUGAGGGACUAAAGCGUGGGGAGCGAAGGGGAUUAGAUACCCCCGUAGUCCACGCCGUAAACAUUGGAUGCUAGGCAUUGGGAGUCAUCGACCCUCUCAGUGCCGGUUUAGGUAACCCGUUAAGCAUCCCGCCUGGGGAGUACGAGCGCAAGCUUAAAACUCAAAGGAAUAGACGGGGACCCGCACAAGCGGUGGAGCACGUGGUUUAAUUCGAUAAUGAGCGUGAGACCUCACCAAGGCUUGACAUCCUGCUGCAAGCUCUGGAAACAGAGUUCCCUGCGAGGGUGCAGGACAGGCGCUGCAUGGUUGUCGUCAGCUCGUGUCGUGAGAUGUUCCGUUAAGUCGGGAAACGAGCGAAACCCCUGCCCUAAGUUUCAAGUGUCUUAGGGGACUGCCCGCUAUAAGCGGGAGGAAGGAGGGGACGACGUCAAAUCAGCAUGGCCCUUAAGUCUUGGGCAACACACGUGCUACAAUGGGGAG
Molecule: ribosomal RNA, 1181 nt
Filed under: uncultured bacterium
Lineage: Bacteria
Description: bacterial SSU rRNA
Rfam family: Bacterial small subunit ribosomal RNA
Source: RNAcentral